This 532-nucleotide ribosomal RNA is filed under the name uncultured bacterium. Its description in RNAcentral is "bacterial SSU rRNA". It matches the Rfam family "Bacterial small subunit ribosomal RNA", at positions 777 to 1320 of the family's 1533-position model. The record is from RNAcentral.
AAUAGAUACCCUGGUAGUCCUAGCCGUAAACGAUGAACACUAGGCGUAGUCGGUAUCGACCCCGGCUGUGCCGUAGCUAACGCAUUAAGUGUUCCGCCUGGGGAGUACGGCCGCAAGGCUAAAACUCAAAGGAAUUGACGGGGGGCCCGCACAAGCAGCGGAGCGUGUGGUUUAAUUCGUCGCAACGCGAAGAACCUUACCAGGGCUUGACAUGUGGCGGAAAACGGCGGAAACGUCGUCCUCCCGCAAGGGACCGUCAUGCAGGUGUUGCAUGGCUGUCGUCAGCUCGUGUCGUGAGAUGUUGGGUUAAGUCCCGCAACGAGCGCAACCCCCGUGGCAUGUUGUAUCUCUCAUGCCAGACUGCCGAGAGAAACUCGGAGGAAGGUGGGGAUGACGCCAAGUCAGCAUGGCCCUUACGUCCUGGGCUACACACACGCUACAAUGGCCGGUACAACGGGUUGCCAAACCGCGAGGUGGAGCUAAUCCCUUAAAGCCGGUCUCAGUUCGGAUUGCAGGCUGCAACUCGCCUGCA